AACGAACGCUGGCGGCAGGCCUAACACAUGCAAGUCGAGCGCUGUAGCAAUACAGAGCGGCGCACGGGUGAGUAACACGUGGGAACGUGCCCUUUGGUUCGGAAUAACCCAGGGAAACUUGGGCUAAUACCGGAUGAGCCCUAACGGGGAAAGAUUUAUCGCCGAAGGAGCGGCCCGCGUCGGAUUAGCUAGUUGGUGGGGUAAAAGCCUACCAAGGCAACGAUCCGUAGCUGGUUUGAGGGAACGACCAGCCACACUGGGACUGAGACACGGCCCAGACUCCUACGGGAGGCAGCAGUGGGGAAUCUUGGACAAUGGGGGAAACCCUGAUCCAGCCAUGCCGCGUGAGUGAUGAAGGCCCUAGGGUUGUAAAACUCUUUUCGGCGGGGACGAUAAUGACGGUACCCGCAGAAGAAGCUCCGGCUAACUUCGUGCCAGCAGCCGCGGUAAUACGAAGGGGGCUAGCGUUGUUCGGAAUUACUGGGCGUAAAGCGCGCGCAGGCGGUUCUUCAAGUCAGAGGUGAAAGCCC
Molecule: ribosomal RNA, 530 nt
Filed under: uncultured bacterium
Lineage: Bacteria
Description: bacterial SSU rRNA
Rfam family: Bacterial small subunit ribosomal RNA
Source: RNAcentral